This 456-nucleotide ribosomal RNA is filed under the name uncultured bacterium. Its description in RNAcentral is "bacterial SSU rRNA". It matches the Rfam family "Bacterial small subunit ribosomal RNA", at positions 340 to 786 of the family's 1533-position model. The record is from RNAcentral.
UACGGAAGGCAGCAGUGGGGAAUAUUGCACAAUGGGCGAAAGCCUGAUGCAGCUAUGCCGCGUGUAUGAAGAAGGCCUUAGGGUUGUAAAGUACUUUCAUCGGGGAGGAAAAAACAAAACUAAUAAUUUUAUUUCUUGACGUUACCCGAAAAAGAAGCACCGGCUAACUCCGUGCCAGCAGCCGCGGUAAUACGGAGGGUGCUAGCGUUAAUCAGAAUUACUGGGCGUAAAGAGCACGUAGGUGGUUUUUUAAGUCAGAUGUGAAAUCCCUGGGCUUAACCUAGGAACUGCAUUUUGAAACUGAAAUACUAGAGUAUCGUAGAGGGAGGUAGAAUUCUAGGUGUAGCGGUGAAAUGCGUAGAUAUCUGGAGGAAUACCUGUGGCGAAAGCGGCCUCCUAAACGAAUACUGACACUGAGGUGCGAAAGCGUGGGGAGCAAACGAGGGAUUAGAUACC